Molecule: ribosomal RNA, 392 nt
Filed under: uncultured bacterium
Lineage: Bacteria
Description: partial 16S ribosomal RNA
Rfam family: Bacterial small subunit ribosomal RNA
Source: RNAcentral
AUACGUAGGGGGCGAGCGUUAUCCGUAAUUAUUGGGCGUAAAGAGUACGUAGGUGGUUUUGUAAGCGUGAGGUGAAAGCCCGGGGCUUAACUCCGGCGAGCCUCACGAACUGCAAGACUUGAGUGCAGGAGGGGAAAGUGGAAUUCCUAGUGUAGCGGUGAAAUGCGUAGAUAUUAGGAGGAACACCGGUGGCGAAGGCGACUUUCUGGAUGGUAACUGACCAUGAGGUACGAAAUCGUGGGGAGCAAACAGGAUUAGAUCCCCUGGUAGUCCACGCCGUAAACGAUGAAUGCUAGGUGUCGGGGGUCAAACCUCGGUGCCGCCGCUAACGCAUUAAGCAUUCCGCCUGGGGAGUACGCACGCAAGUGUGAAACUCAAAGGAAUUGGCGGGG